This 592-nucleotide unclassified non-coding RNA is filed under the name Hevea brasiliensis (rubber tree). Lineage: Eukaryota; Viridiplantae; Streptophyta; Magnoliopsida; Malpighiales; Euphorbiaceae. The record is from RNAcentral.
CAUUCUCAAACUAAAGUAUUCCUCGUAAGUUUUAAUUCAUGCAUCACAAAUGAUGUCUUGAUUGAUGAUUUCUCUUUCUUCAAUGAAAUUCGUAUAGCUAAACCUACUGUGAGUUGUCAAAGCAAUCCUUAUUUCUUCCUGCUACUCAAACCUUGUCAUUUUGAUACCUUUUGUUACCGAGUAUGCCAUUGGGGCAGUCUAUGUGAAGGUAAAAGGAGUAAUGUAAAGGUUUCCCAAAUUGUUAUGCUAGCUACUGUGCUGUUAUUGGUCUGCCUAGAAUGGAGGUGGCAAGGUCACCGCACUGCAAUGCUCUAUGAUAUUAUUUCAAAGUGCAGAAGUCUUAGCUCUUUUCUGUAAGAAUAGACAAGUUCAAAGUUCAAACCAAAGGCUGCAGAACACAUUGAUUUGUUGGUGGGUUAGGUUUCUUGGCUAUGUGGUUAGACCUCUUGACCAUUCUAUGCUAAUCUCAAAUUAUAAUCCAACUGGCCCAUUACUUAAAUCAAUUAAUUUUCUACUUGUCAUGUAAUUCUCAUUUGCUUUUUGGAUAUGUUUUGAUUUCUACUUUUUGGAUGAUGCAGGUUGAGUAAUGUAG